This 21-nucleotide microRNA is filed under the name Prunus persica (peach). RNAcentral describes it as "microRNA miRNA_400". The record is from RNAcentral. RNAcentral also lists the same sequence under 2 other names. Lineage: Eukaryota; Viridiplantae; Streptophyta; Magnoliopsida; Rosales; Rosaceae.
CGCUAUCUAUCCUGAGUUUCA